RNAcentral lists this ribosomal RNA (468 nucleotides) under uncultured bacterium. RNAcentral's name for it is "partial 16S ribosomal RNA". It matches the Rfam family "Bacterial small subunit ribosomal RNA", at positions 28 to 507 of the family's 1533-position model. The record is from RNAcentral.
GACGAACGCUGGCGGCGUGCUUAACACAUGCAAGUCGAACGGAAAGGCCCUGCUUUUGUGGGGUGCUCGAGUGGCGAACGGGUGAGUAACACGUGAGUAACCUGCCCUUGACUUUGGGAUAACUUCAGGAAACUGGGGCUAAUACCGGAUAGGAGCUCCUGCUGCAUGGUGGGGGUUGGAAAGUUUCGGCGGUUGGGGAUGGACUCGCGGCUUAUCAGCUUGUUGGUGGGGUAGUGGCUUACCAAGGCUUUGACGGGUAGCCGGCCUGAGAGGGUGACCGGCCACAUUGGGACUGAGAUACGGCCCAGACUCCUACGGGAGGCAGCAGUGGGGAAUAUUGCACAACGGGCGGAAGCCUGAUGCAGCAACGCCGCGUGCGGGAUGGCGGCCUUCGGGUUGUAAACCGCUUUCGCCUGUGACGAAGCGUGAGUGACGGUAAUGGGUAAAGAAGCACCGGCUAACUACGUG